This 558-nucleotide ribosomal RNA is filed under the name Pichia manshurica. RNAcentral describes it as "eukaryotic LSU rRNA". It matches the Rfam family "Eukaryotic large subunit ribosomal RNA", at positions 46 to 631 of the family's 3401-position model. Lineage: Eukaryota; Fungi; Ascomycota; Pichiomycetes; Pichiales; Pichiaceae. The record is from RNAcentral.
AUAACGGGGGAAAAGAAACCAACAGGGAUUGCCCCAGUAACGGCGAGUGAAGCGCCAAGAGCUCAGAUUUGAAAUCGUGUUUCGGCACGAGUUGUAGAGUGUAGGCGGGAUUCUCUGUGGAGCGCGGUGUCCAAGUCCCUUGGAACAGGGUGCCUGAGAGGGUGAGAGCCCCGUAGGGUGCUGCGCGAAGCUUUUGAGGCCCUGCUGACGAGUCGAGUUGUUUGGGAAUGCAGCUCCAAGCGGGUGGUAAAUUCCAUCUAAGGCUAAAUAUUGGCGAGAGACCGAUAGCGAACAAGUACUGUGAAGGAAAGAUGAAAAGCACUUUGAAAAGAGAGUGAAACAGCACGUGAAAUUGUUGAAAGGGAAGGGUAUUGGGCUCGACAUGGGGGGUGCGCACCGCUGUCUCUUGUAGGCGGCGCUCUGGGCGCCCUCUGGGCCAGCAUCGGUUCCUGCUGCGGGAGAAGGGGCUCCGGAAAGUGGCUCUUCGGAGUGUUAUAGCCGGGGCCAGAUGCCGCGUGUGGGGACCGAGGACUGCGGCUUCUGUCUCGGAUGCUGGCA